Molecule: ribosomal RNA, 245 nt
Filed under: uncultured bacterium
Lineage: Bacteria
Description: partial 16S ribosomal RNA
Rfam family: Bacterial small subunit ribosomal RNA
Source: RNAcentral
CGUAGGUGGCGAGCGUUGUCCGGAAUUAUUGGGCGUAAAGGGAGCGCAGGCGGGAAGGUAAGUCUAUCUUAAAAGUGCGGGGCUUAACCCCGUGAGGGGAUGGAAACUAUCUUUCUUGAGUGCAGGAGAGGAAAGCGGAAUUCCUAGUGUAGCGGUGAAAUGCGUAGAUAUUAGGAGGAACACCAGUGGCGAAGGCGGCUUUCUGGACUGUAACUGACGCUGAGGCUCGAAAGCGUGGGGAGCGA